Homo sapiens (human) is the source of this 1657-nucleotide long non-coding RNA. RefSeq lists it as uncharacterized. Lineage: Eukaryota; Metazoa; Chordata; Mammalia; Primates; Hominidae. The record is from RefSeq and is a predicted model, not a curated record. The transcript has 4 exons.
GAGAGCACCGCCCACAGGCUGAAGAUCCUGCCCCUUCAGGACGGCCGAGAACGCGCCUGCCUUGCACCACCCCCACCCCGCCCCGCGUCCUUCAGGAGAGCCGGAAACGCUCCUACCCCUACUUCGCUUCUGCACGGCCGCGAGAACGCACCUGUCCAGCCCCCUGUUCGCUCCGCCCACUCAGCGCGCGCGGGAGCGCGCGCGGGAGCAGCUCCAACUUUUUCAAUUUGCCGCCAUCUUUACGGCGGCCGACUUCCCAGCCUGCCUCGCGUCCAGGGAGGCGGAGCUCAGAUGAGGUCCGGGGAAUGAGGUGAUUCGCCCAAAAGCACACUACAAAUUGGAGUCACCAGCAGGUCUGCUAUUUUGCCACUAAACCAAUCUGCCGGUCACACCUUGGCUGUAAAGUGUCCUAACAGCCACCUACUUAUGAUUACUGCUUUCUUACCAAUAACCUCCCCAGCCUGUUGUGUGGCUCCUACAUCUUGAACAAAAGCGACCAAGGCAUACAUCUGUAGGAGACCAGAAUAUGCCACCCCAAAAUAUGCCUCCUUGGCCUAAGGAUUAUUCUGAGCUAGUAAUUUUGAGAAACAGAAGCUAUGAAAACAGCAUAAGCUACCCCUUUGAAAGAGAAAUUCACCCCGGCCACCACCCCGUCUGGGAAGUGAGGAGCGUCUCUGCCCAGCCGCCCCGUCUGAGAAGUGAGGAGCCCCUCCGCCCGGCAGCCGCCCCGUCUGGGAAGUGAGGAGCCCCUCUGCCCGGCCGCCAGGCCGUCUGGGAGGUGUGCCCAACAGCUCAUUGAGAACGGGCCAUGAUGACGAUGGCGGUUUUGUCGAGUAGAAAGUGGGGAAAUGUGGGGAAAGGAAGGAGAGAUCAGAUUGUUGCUGUGUCUGUGUGGAGAGAAGUAGACACAGGAGACUCCAUUUUGUUAUGUACUAAGAAAAAUUCUUCUGCCUUGGGAUGCUGUUAAUCUAUAACCUUACCCUCAGCCCCAUGCUCUCUGAAACAUGUGCUGUGUCCACUCAGGGUUAAAUGGAUUAAGGGCGGUGCAAGAUGUGCUUUGUUAAACAGAUGCUUGAAGGCAGCAUGCUCGUUAAGAGUCAUCACCACUCCCUAAUCUCAAGUACCCAGGGACACAAACACCGGAAGGCCGCAGGGUCCUCUGCCUAGGAAAACCAGAGACCCUUGUUCACAUGUUUAUCUGCUGACCUUCCCUCCACUAUUGUCCUAUGACCCUGCCAAAUCCCCCUCUCUGAGAAACACCCAAGAAUGAUCAAUAAAUACUAAAAAAAAAAAAAGAGAAACUCACAGUCUUAAAAGAAAUCGCUCUUUGUAAGGGUGUCUCCCUCUCUGUACCAGGAAGAGAAAGUUGACUCUAAAUCACCAGAGACCCUUAUCAAUGGAGAAGGCAGCAACUUGUUUUGUGUGCUUCUCCGGGUCUUUUUCCCAAAACUGGCCUUCCUCACUCCCUUCUUUGUUUUUAGCUGAAGAUGGUACUUAAACCUGAAUUCUAAGCCACUCCUUUGAGAAUUACUCAUUUUCUUGGGCAUCUCACAUGUAUAUGCAAAGUAUACAUGUUAAUAUAGCUCCAUUUGUUUUUCUCCUGUUAAUCUUUUGAGCUGGGCAUGGUGGCUCCCGCCUAUAAUCCCAACAUCUUGGG